RNAcentral lists this ribosomal RNA (484 nucleotides) under uncultured bacterium. Its description in RNAcentral is "partial 16S ribosomal RNA". It matches the Rfam family "Bacterial small subunit ribosomal RNA", at positions 30 to 507 of the family's 1533-position model. The record is from RNAcentral.
AUUGAACGCUGGCGGCAGGCCUAACACAUGCAAGUCGAGCGGAUGAAGGGAGCUUGCUCCUGGAUUCAGCGGCGGACGGGUGAGUAAUGCCUAGGAAUCUGCCUGGUAGUGGGGGAUAACGUCCGGAAACGGGCGCUAAUACCGCAUACGUCCUGAGGGAGAAAGUGGGGGAUCUUCGGACCUCACGCUAUCAGAUGAGCCUAGGUCGGAUUAGCUAGUUGGUGGGGUAAAGGCCUACCAAGGCGACGAUCCGUAACUGGUCUGAGAGGAUGAUCAGUCACAACUGAACUGAGACACGGUCCAGACUCCUACGGGAGGCAGCAGUGGGGAAUAUUGGACAAAGGGCGAAAGCCUGAUCCAGCCAUGCCGCGUGUGUGAAGAAGGUCUUCGGAUUGUAAAGCACUUUAAGUUGGGAGGAAGGGCAGUAAGUUAAUACCUUGCUGUUUUGACGUUACCAACAGAAUAAGCACCGGCUAACUUCGUG